CUGCAUAAGUUGUAUUUUGCUGUAAAUUUGGACAAAGAGUAAUGCUGAUGUAAGUUAGGCGAGUAUUGUUUGAGUCCUAGGGGCUCAUAAAGGACCAUUGCAUAUAU
Molecule: small nucleolar RNA, 107 nt
Organism: Lolium rigidum
Lineage: Eukaryota; Viridiplantae; Streptophyta; Magnoliopsida; Poales; Poaceae
Source: RefSeq, a predicted model, not a curated record